AGCAGCCGCGGUAAUUCCAGCUCCAAUAGCGUAUAUUAAAGUUGUUGCAGUUAAAAAGCUCGUAGUUGAAUUUCGGGAUCAGUUGAUCGGUCGUGCCUCGGUACGUACUGGUCAAAUUGAUUCCUACCUUCUGACGAACCACGAUGUCAUUAAUUUGGUGUCGUGGGAAAUCAGGACUGUUACUUUGAAAAAAUUAGAGUGUUUAAAGCAGGCUCGCGCUUGAAUACAUUAGCAUGGAAUAAUGAAAUAGGACGUUUGAUUCUAUUUUGUUGGUUUCUAGGAUCGACGUAAUGAUUAAUAGGGAUAGUUGGGGGCAUUAGUAUUCAAUUGUCAGAGGUGAAAUUCUUGGAUUUAUUGAAGACUAACUACUGCGAAAGCAUUUGCCAAGGAUGUUUUCAUUAAUCAAGAACGAAAGUUAGGGGAUCGAAGACGAUCAGAUACCGUCGUAGUCUUAACCAUAAACUAUGCCGACUAGGGAUCGGAUGAUGUUA
Molecule: ribosomal RNA, 491 nt
Filed under: uncultured Glomus
Lineage: Eukaryota; Fungi; Glomeromycota; Glomeromycetes; Glomerales; Glomeraceae
Description: SSU rRNA
Rfam family: Eukaryotic small subunit ribosomal RNA
Source: RNAcentral